Non-coding RNA from Ictidomys tridecemlineatus (thirteen-lined ground squirrel), 1216 nucleotides. The record is from RefSeq and is a predicted model, not a curated record. Lineage: Eukaryota; Metazoa; Chordata; Mammalia; Rodentia; Sciuridae.
UUUGCCCCAAUCAUGACCUUUCUAUUUGGCAUGGUUUUUACAAAAUGGAGUUACUAAACAAAAUGGAGUCACUUUGGCUUGAAUAUCACACUACAAGCAAUGGAGAUGCUUAUGGAGAGAACUGAGUUUAAUGAUGUUAGCAUUAAAUGCUUUUACUCCGUAGAAGUAAAAAUGGUGGCAGUGUAAGGGCAAACACAAAUUAAAAUUUAAAAGCUUAAAUGUUCCUUGAAGGGAAAAAAAGACCUCUCCUUUUUCUUAGAACAUUUAAUUUAAAAAUCUUAUACGUUCUUUCUCUUUCUUUGAAAUAAUGUCAAUCUUUGUGUGUGAGUGCACAUGCAAAUACAUGAACCACCUAAACAUUUUACCAUUGUGAGCUACAAUAGCAACCUUAUUAAAAGCCAAACAAGACUCUUUCCAGCUUUACAAGAAUAACUUUCUCAAGGAUCUAAAAGCCAUCACUGGAAAUGCAAUUAUCAAGGAACAUAGUACAUAUCUCCUAGUUUUUGUGAGAAGAUGGGAACUUAACUUUGGCCAUCUGCUUCCUUCCAUGUUGCAAGACCUACCUUUAGUGAUAAAGAUAUGAGAAGUUUAUUUUUCCUUUGGCUCAAUCCAACACUUUAGCAAAGAUGAUCACCCAAUUACCAAAUGAAUUGGGAUGAACUAUGUGUGAAAAAAUGGUGUCUUCAAAUGGUGUCUUAUUGAGGAAUAGUUAUCGUUUAUCUUAAGAACAUGUAUGUAAACAGUUGUGUCUACCUGGCUCUGUAUAAAGGACCUUCUGUACAACUGGAGAACAGGCAAGGAUAAAGGCAGCUGCAGAGAGAAAUCAAAGAGAAAGUUGAUUAUGAGUUUCAAUUGGCAGAAGGUUCAACUUGGAGCUGCUGAUUUGGGACUUCCCAGAUUGUUGAUCAGCCAGGAAUGUUGACCUAGGGCAGAUCCCAUAAACAACAUUGACGUAGUUGUGAAAGAAUAUCAAGAAACCCUCUGAAAAUCUCUGAGAAGAAAAGAGUAGGAGAAAAGAAGAGAAUUUCCAGAAAACAGAAAUGGACAUUUGCCGGUAGAUCUGAAUUUCCCUGAGAGAGGAGCCAUGUAACAAUAUGUACAAUGUCAAGCCUGGAGAAUGUGCCCAUGGGAACUCGUAAAGUCUGAAGUUCAACGGAUUGGUUAAAAUUAUUUAAAUUAUGUAUUGAAUGAAGAAAUAAAGGGCUUUGUUAUCCAA